AUCCAGGGAUGGGAAUCAAACCCACAGUCUUCCGCCGGGUAGAUGCCAUGUCCACUAGGCUACCCUGGA
This is a non-coding RNA of Cordylochernes scorpioides, 69 nucleotides long. The record is from the annotation of a GenBank genome assembly. Lineage: Eukaryota; Metazoa; Arthropoda; Arachnida; Pseudoscorpiones; Chernetidae.